Molecule: transfer RNA, 72 nt
Filed under: Sus scrofa (pig)
Lineage: Eukaryota; Metazoa; Chordata; Mammalia; Artiodactyla; Suidae
Rfam family: tRNA
About the family: Transfer RNA (tRNA) molecules are approximately 80 nucleotides in length. Their secondary structure includes four short double-helical elements and three loops (D, anti-codon, and T loops).
Source: Rfam by way of RNAcentral
UCCCUGGUGGUUAAGUGGUUAGGACUUGGUGCUUUCACCACAGCAGUCCUGGUUCAAGCCCUGGUCUGGGAA